This is a long non-coding RNA of Choloepus didactylus (southern two-toed sloth), 10274 nucleotides long. RefSeq lists it as uncharacterized. The transcript is spliced from 4 exons. Lineage: Eukaryota; Metazoa; Chordata; Mammalia; Pilosa; Megalonychidae. The record is from RefSeq and is a predicted model, not a curated record.
UGGAUACUUAAUGGCCUUGAGACUGUUACUGUGUAACCAAAUAAACCCCCUUUAUAAAAGCCAGUCCAUUUCUGGUGUUUUGCAAAACAGCAGCCUUAGCAAACCAGAACAGACCUGCAUGUGUUGAACUCCUCUAGCAGCUCUGGCAGGGUGCUGCGUGCCGCUUUCCAGUAGAUGUGCUGGGUGAUCCUUUCUCGGCCAUCCCCGCAUUACUGGUGGGGGCGAUUGGUAGCCAAUGGUCUGCCCCGUGAGCGCGGCACUAACAGGAGUGGACAUGGGCUUCUCUAGUCAAACUGAGCUGUUUAAUGUUUCUUUUCCGGGCCUUGUUCUGGCAGUUACACGUAUGAUGUGUUUGUUUCCUUUUAGUGACACUGAUGGGAAGGUGCCUUUCUAGUCAUCUAAGAAAGUUCUCUUGAUCACUGGUAAAUAUUGUUGUUAUGUGCAUUCUUGAAUGUUUAAUUCAUAGUUUUAAUGGUAAGUGUGCCUUAUAUACUUAUUUCUGAAAUGACAAAACUCCACUUCAGGGCGUGGAAUUUAAACAGCAGGGACUGACUGACCGGGGAGGCUGUAUCCCACUCCUGCCCCUGCCACCCAGGUUCCCUUCUCAGAGACAGUCUCAGUACCCCCUUCCUUAGACAUCCUUCCCAAGCGGUUUCAUGCAUAUAUAAGCAAAUAUGUCUGUCUAAUCUUAUUUCCUCCCACUGUUCAGAAAUGGUAGCAGCUUAGGUUUAAAUGUCUACUUUGGGAGGUCUUGGAUGGAGAUUGUACACUAGAAGACAUGUCCUUGGAGCAUCUCUGCCUUCCUGUUGUCCUCCAACUCCAAAAGACCCUCCUAUUUCCAGAGGUUUCUUUUGGCGCAGGCUGUUGUAAUCAUACCCACCCUGACACUGAACUAGUCCACAUUAUGACUCAUGAUUAGAGCUAAAAGUGUGUUGAGCCCAGGAUACGGGCUGACACAUGGAACUGGCGUGCCUGGCCUGGUCUCUAGGGUGACCCAGGCAUUGUGGGGGCCACUGUGUGUGAGCCUGAGCGCUUUUUCUUGUGACUGGAACCCCUGGGCCACUGUGGUGGUUACUGCCCCCACCUAGUGCAAAGGGAGGCACUGGAGAGUGAGUUGCUGCCUUAUGUAUUUCUGCAGGGCUUUGCUGCUUGCAAAGUGCUUCUGGUGAGUUCUCUCAGUUCUUGUCCCCUCAGGUAACAUGAUUUUGGGUGUUACUUGGAUGAAUAUUUACUUUAUGCUCUAAUUUUAUAUGUAUAAGAUAAAGUCUAUCUUCACAUCAUGGAGUCCAUGGAUUGUUGCUUUGGGUAAGGUUAAAGCAGGCAUUGAAACUUUAAAAAGCAGUGAGGUGAGUCCAAGAGAAACAUGAAAAGACAGCACAUCCUGAAGAUGGUUCUGAGUGACUGGAGUUUAGGGGGUCCUCAUCCUUUAGUUAAUACAACCUCUGAGGGAGGGGUCUCAACCCCAUUUUACACAUGGGAACACAAGAGGCUGUCAGGGUCUCACCAGGUUCUUGUCCUUCGUGGGCUUCUUGCCCAUGUCCAUGCUAAACAGACCCAGACAGGAGCAUGUGUCAGGCCUGCAUUCCGGCUUGUGCCCCUGGGCGUCUUCGCGGGGAGCUCACUAGGCUGAGGCCUCAACCCCGCCGGCUGGUUGGCGGGCAGAGGCGCUAAGGUUUACACGCUCUGCGUAAAGGAAGAAAGCAGUCCAAAGUUACUUCCAGAGCUCUAAAGAGUUCAAUUCAGCAAAGGUUUUCAUGUUCAAAGCAUUGCAUUCUACCCUCAGUCCAGUGGGAGAGAGCCCCAGAAACCACACAACCCUCACAGCUUCCUGGGCGUGAAGUGGAACUACUCCCACCCACAGCUCCCCACACCUCCCCCUGCUGCUCGGCCAUCCUCUUGCCCACGCUAGUUUGAUUUCCUGGCUGCCCAGCAGCGGAAUCUAGAAAUUCGCUAGGACAGCCUGGCAGUGAGUGAGAGACUUGUGCUAAGCUCUUGUCCAGGAAGUGCCUCUAAACUCACUCCCGCGGCCCUGCCAAGGAAGGCAAUUAAUCCUUUCCUGGCCCAUGUGAGUGAGAUCCACCCAGCCACUACUGUGGCCACCGUGAGCCCUGGGGUUUCUGCGUCUCUCCCAAUUUGCUUCAAUUGUGUGCUUUUCAACAGAGCCAGUUUGUUGAUGUAGGAUGUUUCUAUCUGUAAUAACUAACCUCUGUCAGCCCCAUGCCUGAGUUCUAGUUUGGGAGCUGUGGUCACUGUGGGCCUCUGUCAACCGUUUCUACUCAUCCAGACAGCUCAGGGCAGCCUGAUGUGUUUAAAGCUUUGGCCACGGGCUACCUGAACAGUUAAUUAAAAUGAGAUGUAUUCAGUGUGAGCACAGUCCACAUUGCUCUGUGUGAGACUGCUGCUGUGUUUGGGGUCACUGAGAGUGCCAUCCACGGGUGGGUUAGCACUCAUUUCCCCAGAGAAUGGACUGUGGAUCACCUGGCAUGCUCCAGUCCGGGUCCAGCAUGCUCUGCCUGGGAUCAUGUUUCUGCUCAUUUGGGUCAUUCAGGGGUGACUGUGAGUACAAACCUGCCCCUCCAAAGGGCAAGCUGAUGUCUUAUUGUCUAGUAGGGCUGCUGGGCUUUCACUAGUGAAGAUGCUGGAGGCUGUCAGCCGGGAGGGGUCUCGGAGGCACUGCCCCCUGCGCAGUGCAGUCUGUGCAACAGGAUGGAGGCGACGGCUGGGAUGCAUCUGCUACCCACCCACUGGCUGGAAAGGAGUGCCCAAGUGGGCCUUUUGGCUGCACAGAGGCUGGCUCCAGGGCAGCCACUGCUCCUGGUCCCUGCAGGGGAAGACAACUGAACAACUGGGCAGCGGUGACAUGUUUGGUUCUGAAAUUUAUUGUAAAACAGGUAAGUGAUAAAUCCAUCAGGUGCUUUAACAGCCUUCCUUCUAGCAGAAAUUAUACUAGUGACUACAAGGAAAUAGGCACAAAUAAAAAUGAAGUCAAAUAUUCAAAGGCAGUUAAUAUAGGGACAGGCUUUGAGGGCCAUAGGUUGUGGUUGGAGAAGUCGGAGCAGGGAGAGCAUCCUCAGCUUGCUGGACGACCCUAGCAAGGCCCCUCUCCCUCUCUUUCCAUAUUCUUUCACUGAUUUGCCAGGAACCAGGGAGAAAGGGGAAUCUAGUCCUGUAUUGUCCUACUACCAAGGGGAAAAAUGACAGCGCUCAGCUUUUGAAUGUUAAAAGAAUAUGGCAAUUUGAGUCAAGCACAUUCAUUUGGUCGGUUUACAAAAGGGCUAUGUAAUGGAAAUCUAAUAUGAGAAGCUCAGGGGAGACGUUCUGCAGCCACAUUAAACAUGAAUUAUGGAUAAGGGAACAGAGUAAGAUGACAACAGCUUCCAAGUUUGGCCAAGCACCCCCUUAAGGAACAAAUUAUUGCUAGACUUCAACAAAACAAUUGCAUUAUUUUCUGGUCAAAGAGACUGGCAAGUUUUUUUCUGCUUUGCUAAUGGGAGACAGGUCAACUGUGGAUCUGAGUCUUGUCACUGAGCAGUCGGACCUGUCCUGCCAGCAGUUACCAAGGCUGAGGGUAAACUCUGCAGUGAUGGAAACAACACAGUGUGACUUAACUAGGCUGAUGGGGAGUUAAAAAUACAAGUUGCCUUGGCAAGGGUUUUGCAGAUACCUGCCUUACAGGCUGUCCUCCCACACAGCGACCUUGGGAAGGCCACUGAGAGUGGUGUAGGAGGAACCGGUGUUUUAAUGGUAGGUUGCCAGAGCAUCAGCGUCACCUCUGUCUCCAAGCUCUUCCAAAAUCAUUGAGCACGUGCCAGCAGGGGGGUUGCUGGUGGAUGAACUCUGCCCCCAGGAGGCAGACUGAAGAUUCUGAUGGGAACACCGUGGCUGCCCGGCCUUCUGAUGGCCUGUUGACCAAGUUAGCAAGGGACCAGUCUCAAGGUGUUAAAGAGAAAAUGUCAGCACCCUAAGAAUGGUUCAUGUAGUAAGGUCAAGGGGUGUGUUGAAAGCAGCUCACCCCCUCCAUCUUCUAAAAGUGACCAGGCAGCACUUGUCUAGUACUGGACAAGGGAAGAAGAGAGGUGGCAUGAGAGGUUCAGCUCGGGGACAGAGUCGUCCCUAGUGCAGAGCAGGCAGAUGCCCACCACUGGAAGCCAGCACAGGCGGAGGCUGGAAGUGAGCUGGCCCCCCACGGCACCCUCUGGAGCCCAGCAAGGGGGAGUCGACCAUCAUACAUUAAGAGGCAGGCCCCUUCCAAAUUGCUCCCGGCCCUUGUGGCCACAGCCAGGUAGCCAUCUGGCCUGGCCGCGUGAGGCGAGGCAGCAGGUUUGCGUGGCCCAUGGCGCCACAGCCCAUGCAGCCAGCAUGGCUUGUUCACUGCCACUGCAGCUGCUGUCCAAAGUGAGGCCCCAGGUAGGAGAGGAGGAGACUGCCACCAUCUAAGCCGACUGUCUCAGAUCUUGCCCAUAACAGCAGGCACCAGACAGUUAUGAUGUGAAGGGGACUUGGAAGGCUGGGGCUGCAGCAGCAGAAAGCCAUGUUUCCACAGCUGCGAGAAAAGUGUAUUUGCAAGGGUCAUUAUUUGUUAUUUACCGUGUCCAGUGGGAGUGCCACUCCCUUAACUUGGGGCCUAUACUCCUCAUGGGAUGAGGAGAGGUAGAGUACUUUGUCUUGGGGUUGCCAGUUUUUCCUUUCAGAAAGGACCAAAACUUCCACCAUAAGGAAAUUCAGUUUUUCUUUUGAUCAGCUGAAAGCCAAGCAGACAGCCAGGAUGAGAUUUCAACUUGGAGGGGAAGGUGAGGCCUUCUCUAGAAUCUUUUAAAUGUGAAUAUUGCCUAGGCAGCACCUACGGCUUGGAUUGAAAAACAUAAUCAAGUGGCAGAGAUGAAAUCCUCAGGGGGCCUGUGGUCCCCUUCAAGAAUCUGAUGAAAGAUACCAUGCUACUUCUCAGAAAAUGCUCUGUGCACAAUUUCACACAGCAUUUUGUGGGUGUCUUGAAUCCUGGACUAAGGUUCUGGAAAUAAUGAUGCAACCUCAGCCUGCAAAACAAGUCAUGUGAGGUAAGGACUGAAGGCUACUAAGACGGGGGAGGUGAGUGAUGACCAAGUGCUAUCCAGGAGAUUGUGGGGUACAUGGAAAAAAUAAUCUGAACAAUAAGUUAAGAAAUUUUAAUGUUAGAACAAAAAUGGAUCUAUAAUAAAGUACAAAGCCAAAGUCAUACAAUAUUUUUAAAGAUAGGACACAUGAUCUCUGAGGUUUUAGCCUCCAGUUCCCUCCAUGGCAUAUUCUGUCUUUAGGGGAGACUGUGGUAGAAGAGUGUGAGAAGCAGAAGAGCUAAAGAAGAAAAGCUGAUAGACAAAUCUGCCAGAAACUCAGUUAAAACUUAAGACGCUCCUUCAAAGUAGCCAACAGAUGUGAAGGCAAUCCCAUCAGAGAGGACUGCGACUCAUUUUCACAAAGGUUUCCUUCAUGCCCCUGGUGGUUCAGAGCUCAAAAUCCCAGUUUAGAGAUGUGGCAGGGCACGUUUGCUGUGAUGAGGCUGUGGCUGUUAAAUGAGAUGUGGCGGACCGGGUGCCUGGAACAGAGAGAGAGCUGUUUGAAAGGCAAGUCCCACUGAAGCUGAGCAAAUCUUCCAUUUGCGAAGGCAGUCCCAGAAGGUCAGAGCUGCAGGGGACUCUAUUCUUUUACGGAGGAGGAACCCAGGCCCUGAGAGGGGUAGUAUUUCAUCCCAGUUCCCAAAGCUAGCAGGAACAACACCACACUGUGUAAGGGGAAUUCUGAUUACUUUACAUUCUAGUUGGAGAGUCAGAACAUGAAGGACAAACUCAAUGCAAGACAUUUCAGCAGCACAUGAGAACAGCCCUGUUUCUGCCUCCCUAGUUGGAUGGUCUUAUUUGGUGGUGAUCCACAAAGGCCUCUCUAGUCCUAAAGUCAGAGGGCUAGAAAUGGUACCUCAAUUUGAGGUUGUGGACGUAUACUUAGAAAACCUUGUGACCAAAAAGCUUUAGCAGAACCUGUCAUUUGUUCUAAAAAUAUUUCUCUAGUGCCUACUAUUUUCCCAGCAAGGAGGUGGAGGAAGAAGGUAUAUGACACAAGCAGAUACCAGCCAUCAAGGAGAUUCCUAACUGGUCAAGAAGGCACCUGAGGGAAGGACCUUACCGAGAAUGCACCUCCCACAGCUUUUGGUUCAUUCGAUAAUCCCACACUGAGACGAGGCCUUCCUCGCCCCCACUGACAAUUUUCCAGUCAUCCAUCUGGACUGCAGAGACUCCAAGUUGGUGGGCAGAGAGUGACAGGGCAAUUUUAUCAGUGCGGAGGUCAUGGAUCCUCACCCUGAAAGGCAUGAGAUGGGCACAGAGAAGGGAAAUGGGAUUGAAGUUAAAGCUUGAAAUGACAACUUCCUGCUCGUGUGCUGGUCUAUGCACAACAUCCUAUGGAAACAGAAACAAGAUGCCACAGAAAUGGACUUGUUUAGAGUGCCCACAACCAUCUAAUCAGAAUGGUUUUAGAGCACACAGAGUAAGACAUACCCAGGACGCACAUGUAGCUAACUGCCCUGCUACUCACUUCAUCAGCUCAUCAGGGGAAAGGCAUCCUGCUUUGGGAGCAAGUCCGACACAGACACAGGUUCACAUCUGACUGGCACUGUGAACGCCAGUGGGGUCAGCCUAAGAGGACUGUUCAAGAGGUAUGUUUACAGUCUAGUAUAUUUUGUGACUUUGCCAGUGGUACAAUAUUUCAUUAAAGGCAUGAGGUCAAUCAGCUACACUUGUCUGCAACUCAGACCCUUACCUAGUGGGGGAAAAAAACAUUUUGUGGGUACUUUAUAGGUUCUUGGAAAGGGAAAAUAAAUGCAUAACAAAAUCACACUACACUUACGUGAACACGUGGCAGCCAUUUAACUACAAUUAAAUGGCUGUCAGAUUAAAGACUUGUUAUAUAAGUAUACGCUGAAUUUUCACAAGGAUAAGAUAAUAGGACAAAAAUCUCUUAUCCAUUACAUAGUUCAUCAACUAAGUCAUGAGAGCUAAAAUUAGGCUAAGUACAGAUGAAGUCAACAGACUCUAUGCUACAGGUCAAAAAGGACAAGACCACGGCUUCCCUAAGAAAACUCCAUCUAGCAGGGUACCUAGACAAACAAUUAUAAUAAUAUGUUAAACUUGAUCACAAACAUGUUUGACACACAAAAGAAGUGGUUAAGAUAGGAUAAUCUGAUUCAUGUUCUAUGUCUUGGACUCUUACAAGCAUGUACCCACAAAUACAUAUUUUCAGAGAUCUGAGGAAACAUUAUUUUGAACCUAAAAUUCGACACCUAGCUUACCUACCAAGUUUGUUCUUGAAUUCAAAGUGAGCCACCUAUGGAAACUCUGAAAGAAUUACUCAAAUGUUGUAGCAAAAGAUAACAAGGAAUGGGAUGAGUCAACACACACAACAAAUCCACCUAUGAGCAGGAAGAGUUACAGAUGGCUCACAAAGUAAAAUGCAGUAUACACUACACAUGAAAAAUACAUUUGCAAAUGACAAGAUGUUACAAUUUUAAUAGCAGAAAAGUGAACUUCAGAGCAAAAAGCAUUACAUUGAAGAAGGGUACAACUUACUAAAGGUUUGGUAAAACAUACCUUGAAAAAAACAAAACAAAGAAACUACAUGGACCUAACAUUUUAUGUCUUUUUUGUUUUUUCACUCAGUAUAAUCUAUUCAGGUUUUCUGUAUCUUGAACUGCAUUUUUAAAUCUCCAAAUAUGAAAACCUAGAUGAAGAAGUAAAGGCUUUCUAGGGAAAUAAAAAUCACCAAAGCUAGCCUCCAGGAGAUACAAAAUCUAAACAUAAAAGAACAAGUAAAAUUUGCGAAACCUGUAAGGAGCAUACCUCCAGGGCUAUGUAAACUGUUCCACAGCACAGGACAAGAAAGGAAACUUCCAAACUCUAUAUGAGGCUAGCAUUCUGUUACUACCAAAAACUGACAUCACAAUUAAAAACUAUACAUCUCUCAAAAUAUUAAUAGAAUCCAUAGCACUCGGCUAUAAUACCAUUAUUACUAUAAUGACUAAGAUAGCUACAUAAUAAGAAAAGCCACAUGGUUACAGAUGCUGAAGAAUUUGAUGAAAUAUAACAAUUCCUAAUAAAAGGUCUAUUAUUUUACACUGUUCUGAACAAAUCAGAAGAUACAGAAAAAGGUGACAAUCGAAAAGUAGUUAUACUCAAAAACAGAAAAAAAAAUCCCACUUACAUUAUACUCUGUAAUACUCCCAACUUGAAUACAUUACAACACAAUAAAUUAGAGAUGACUCAGAACUCAAAGAAGUAAACAUAAUCAAAUACUAAAAAUAUUCACAGUAGGGGAGGCCUUUCUAAGCAUAACAAAACCCAGAAGCCAAAAAAAGAAAAGACUGAUAAAUGUAUAUAAAAAGUAUUUGAUUUUCCACACAGGGAAAAUAAUAGUGAUUAACUUCUAAACAUGUAUAGGAUGUUCAGGCUCACUGGAAACGAGAAAUGAGAAAUUACAAAAUAAAGCUACAACAGGAUACCAUUUGUCACUUAUCUACCUAGCAAAGAAAAGUUUGAUAAUCCACUCUAUGGUGGUGAGAAAGGGAGAAAUGGGCACUUAAAUAUACCACUGCUGCAUGCAGAAGUCCCUUUUUAUAGAGUGAUUCUGGCAUUAGCCAAUAAAAUAAAAUAGACCACUUUUAACCCAGCAAUUUUACUUAUCUACAAAUGUGCAUAAAUACAAAUAUGCAGUCUAUUUGCCACAGCACUGUUUUUAGUAGCAAAAGAUGGGGCUUUGAGUUGACUAGUAACCUGAAAACCCUCCCACUGAAAAUCACAAUAGCAGGAGAUAAGAUAUAACUAACAUCCUUUUAAUAUCCAUUGCUGAGCUCACAAAGCAAGCAGCUUCUCUAGGGCCCAAGCAGAAAACCACAGUGGCAAGCUUGAGCUGCUGCUGCAGUUGCCUGUGUGUGCAUAAAGUGUAGGGACGUUGGCAAGUGUGGAUCUCAAGAACCAGUGGGUUCAGGGGUCUUAACACAAUGCAGGGGCAGGAUUAGGAGACUUGGCACACCCAACACGGGAGAGAAGUGGACUGGUACUGAGACUCCUGCUUAAGAAAAAAGCCACGUAAAAUGUCCAUAAAUGAAAAUAUGGUCCCUGAAAUUAAAUUCAUUGGCUAGGCUAAGAAACAGAUAAGAGAACUUGUGAAUUAGAAGAUAACUCUGAAGAAAGGUAUCCAGAAUAGAACACAAAGAGAUAAAGAGAUAAAAAACUGGAAUGAGAAGUUAGGAGCCAAGAAGAAUAAAGGAACAGUUCAGCACAUGUUGAAAAGAAGUUCCAAGAGGAAAAAAUGGAGUGUGUGUUGAAGAGGCAAUAUUCAAAUAAUAAAUGGCUAAGAUUUUUAGAAAAUUAAGAUACACAUUCAAAUUCAAUGAGCACUAAAAUUAAAAAGUCAACACAUCAUAACAAAAUGGAAAAAUACAAGGAAAACCAAAGAGGUCUUAAAACAACUUCAGAAAAAAGACAAUACCUAUUAAUGUAUGAUAAUUAGACUGAAAAAUUGGAAACAACAUUUAAGUUGUGAUACAUUUGAAUGACUCAAUGUAGACUUCAUAAUAAACUCAUCUCAUCAACUGAGUGCUAGUUAAAACCACGACAGUGCUUCUGUACAGCGGGACACGGGGCAUCAUCAGAGAGCAUGAGGCAGAGCUACACACACUGGGGAGCAGUGGCCUCCAAUAUGCUGUUACAAAGAACAGGAGGCACGGCAGUGUGAAUGGGCGUGUGGUGGGGUGCGUCCUGCUUAGGGGUGUUCCGAUGACCUCUGGAGAACACUAGCUGUUAAGCAGUCACCACUAAGGAGGCCGACUUGGAAACUCCAGAAGAGGGUGCACAGAAGAGUGGCAUCUCCCUACAUACUUCUUUGUGCUUCCUUGUGCAUGUUACCUGUUUAAAUAAAACGAACACUUCUGAAGAUAAAAUUCUGUAAGCAUGUACUCAAACUGUUAACAGCAGUUACCUUGGAGAAGAAGACUGGCAAUGGAGGAAUGAGGAGGGCAAAGGCAAGCUUUUAAUUCUGAUUCUAUUCCCAGCCAUACAGUGAAAGAACAAGAACUCAGUCAUGACCAAGAGGGCACCUGGAGGCCUUCAAAGGUCCUGGCCCCACUCUGGUCUUAAGCUGGGUGGUGGGUUCACAGGUGUUCUAUGUUUUUCUUUAAGAUUGUACACAUACCUUAUAUCACUCACACAUGUAUGCACGGUUUCAUAAUUUUCAAAAUAAUAUAUUCAUCUAUU